UGGCCGAGGAUGAAAAUCAUAAUCUGAUUGGGCAUAUCUCAGUAAUGUGCUCUGAUGGGUUAAAGGAUUUAGCUGAGGCCA
Molecule: small nucleolar RNA, 81 nt
Filed under: Ornithorhynchus anatinus (platypus)
Lineage: Eukaryota; Metazoa; Chordata; Mammalia; Monotremata; Ornithorhynchidae
Description: Small nucleolar RNA SNORD93 (ENSOANG00000042854.1)
Rfam family: Small nucleolar RNA SNORD93
About the family: The members of this family belong to the C/D class of snoRNAs which contain the C (UGAUGA) and D (CUGA) box motifs.
Source: Rfam by way of RNAcentral